RNAcentral lists this unclassified non-coding RNA (288 nucleotides) under Hevea brasiliensis (rubber tree). Lineage: Eukaryota; Viridiplantae; Streptophyta; Magnoliopsida; Malpighiales; Euphorbiaceae. The record is from RNAcentral.
AAAAAAUCUGUUCAGCUAAAAAAAGGUAAUGAUGCUUGCCACCGCGUGGCUUUACAGUUUCUGGCUACAUGGCUCAGAGUCGAAUGGAAAGAAAUGGUUUGUUUAGUCGUGCUAUACAUAGCAUUUGUAAGCUCCUUAUAAUAUAUUUUCUGUGGACAGCCUUGCCCCUUUAGUAAGAAUACUAUCCUUAUUUGCUUUUGUGUUGUGGUGCUUCGAUGCUGACCUGCACAAGCUGUGAACUGAAUCCUAUCUGUCUUCCAUGGACUAUUCUUCUCUCUUAGGAAGCCG